GCGGCGAAGAGGUCACACCCGUUCCCAUGCCGAACACGGAAGUUAAGCUCUUCAGCGCCGAUGGUAGUCGGGGGUUUCCCCCUGUGAGAGUAGGACGCCGCCAAGC
This 106-nucleotide ribosomal RNA is filed under the name Bacillus velezensis. The record is from RNAcentral. Lineage: Bacteria; Bacillati; Bacillota; Bacilli; Caryophanales; Bacillaceae.